GGGAAGAAAGAGAGAGAGAUAACUCUCUGAUAGAUGGCAGUGAAGGACCAGGAUGAGAAGACGAGGGGGCAGUAGAGAAUCAGCAUCCACUAGUAAGAUAGCCAAUAUGCAAACCAAAGCGCACUACCUGCCUGAAUUGAGAUAAAGAGAGUGCAGCUUUGUCUUUCUCUGAGGCCAGUAAAUUGGGAGGGACAGUGGCAUCACUAACUAAAUCCUUCCAGUUUCCUACUUCCAUGCACUGUUUCCCGCAACACUCAGAGCUGGAAACACCUUCAUCGUGCCCCUCGCCAGUAUGGACUCCAGGCUCCUCUGCUGUGUGGCCCUCUGUCUCCUGGGAACAGGUUCUCUGGAUUCUGGUGUUACCCAGACCCCAAGAAAUGGGAUCAUAAAGACAGGAAAGAACAUUGUACUGGAAUGUACUCAGACUAAGGGUCAUGAUGCAAUGUACUGGUAUCGACAAGACCCAGGGCUUGGGUUACGACUCAUCUACUACUCACUGGAUGUCAAGGACAUUAACAAAGGAGAAGUCUCUGAUGGGUACAGCGUCUCUCGAGAGGAACAGCCUAAAUUCUCCCUGUCCGUAGAGACAGCCAUCCCCAACCAGACAGCUCUUUACUUCUGUGCCAGCAGUUAUUUGCACAGUGCUGCUUGGCCACCUGCUCUCCACACAGAAAGCACAAAAGGAGCUAUUUCCUUAGAAGGGUCAGAAGCCUUUCCCAUACUCCCCUGCACGUGGGCUCCUUAGAGCUCUGUGUGGUCCUAGGCAGUGUAAGCCUCAGUCUGAGCUGAGAGCCACCUGGGGUUAAUGUCCCCAGGCUAUGUGAUGACCCUGAAAUCAUAGUUGAGACUAAAUAUAAUUCUCUUGUCUACUGACUCUCUUUAUCUAUUCUAAUGAAGCUAGCUCAAUAGACCUCUCAGGAGAAUGAAUCUGAGCACUGGACGACCCCAUUAUGAUUUGCAACUGGAGUGUUUCUCAUUAACUCAAAUAUAAUGUGGUUUUCAAGGGUUCUUUUGCUGAUGUCUCCACCCACUUUGCAACAUCCCCUGCUCCAUUUUGUUCCAAUCGGAAGCCCUUUGUCCUGACUGCCCUUUCUCCGUCCAAGUUCCUCCAUGUUCAAUUCUGCUGUUCAGCUCUAUACUUGGUUGCCUUUAUAGUGAGAAUAAACUGA
This is a non-coding RNA of Choloepus didactylus (southern two-toed sloth), 1169 nucleotides long. Lineage: Eukaryota; Metazoa; Chordata; Mammalia; Pilosa; Megalonychidae. The record is from the annotation of a RefSeq genome assembly.